Molecule: transfer RNA, 70 nt
Filed under: Brasilocerus sp. 2 DTA-2012
Lineage: Eukaryota; Metazoa; Arthropoda; Insecta; Coleoptera; Phengodidae
Description: tRNA-Lys
Source: RNAcentral
CAUUAAAUGUCUGAAAGUAAGUUCUGGUCUCUUAAAUCAUAAAUAGUAAGUUAACGUUUACUUCUAAUGA